RNAcentral lists this ribosomal RNA (856 nucleotides) under Micrococcus sp. CPA-125. Its description in RNAcentral is "bacterial SSU rRNA". It matches the Rfam family "Bacterial small subunit ribosomal RNA", at positions 56 to 923 of the family's 1533-position model. Lineage: Bacteria; Bacillati; Actinomycetota; Actinomycetes; Micrococcales; Micrococcaceae. The record is from RNAcentral.
UGCAAGUCGAACGAUGAAGCCCAGCUUGCUGGGUGGAUUAGUGGCGAACGGGUGAGUAACACGUGAGUAACCUGCCCUUAACUCUGGGAUAAGCCUGGGAAACUGGGUCUAAUACCGGAUAGGAGCGUCCACCGCAUGGUGGGUGUUGGAAAGAUUUAUCGGUUUUGGAUGGACUCGCGGCCUAUCAGCUUGUUGGUGAGGUAAUGGCUCACCAAGGCGACGACGGGUAGCCGGCCUGAGAGGGUGACCGGCCACACUGGGACUGAGACACGGCCCAGACUCCUACGGGAGGCAGCAGUGGGGAAUAUUGCACAAUGGGCGAAAGCCUGAUGCAGCGACGCCGCGUGAGGGAUGACGGCCUUCGGGUUGUAAACCUCUUUCAGUAGGGAAGAAGCGAAAGUGACGGUACCUGCAGAAGAAGCACCGGCUAACUACGUGCCAGCAGCCGCGGUAAUACGUAGGGUGCGAGCGUUAUCCGGAAUUAUUGGGCGUAAAGAGCUCGUAGGCGGUUUGUCGCGUCUGUCGUGAAAGUCCGGGGCUUAACCCCGGAUCUGCGGUGGGUACGGGCAGACUAGAGUGCAGUAGGGGAGACUGGAAUUCCUGGUGUAGCGGUGGAAUGCGCAGAUAUCAGGAGGAACACCGAUGGCGAAGGCAGGUCUCUGGGCUGUAACUGACGCUGAGGAGCGAAAGCAUGGGGAGCGAACAGGAUUAGAUACCCUGGUAGUCCAUGCCGUAAACGUUGGGCACUAGGUGUGGGGACCAUUCCACGGUUUCCGCGCCGCAGCUAACGCAUUAAGUGCCCCGCCUGGGGAGUACGGCCGCAAGGCUAAAACUCAAAGGAAUUGACGGGGGCCCG